UGAGGUAGAUUGUUGGAUGACU
Molecule: microRNA, 22 nt
Filed under: Schmidtea mediterranea
Lineage: Eukaryota; Metazoa; Platyhelminthes; Tricladida; Dugesiidae
Description: sme-let-7b-5p
Gene: sme-let-7b-5p
Source: miRBase by way of RNAcentral